Molecule: long non-coding RNA, 358 nt
Organism: Suncus etruscus (white-toothed pygmy shrew)
Lineage: Eukaryota; Metazoa; Chordata; Mammalia; Eulipotyphla; Soricidae
Exons: 5
Source: RefSeq, a predicted model, not a curated record
GGGGCCACUCAAUUAGUGAGUCUUCCAACCAGAGCUUGUGCAGCGUGGGGUCCUUGAGUGACAAAGAAGUAGAGACUCCUGAGAAAAAGCAGAAUGACCAGCGAAAUCGGAAAGGAAAAGCUGAACCAUAUGAAACUAAGCAAGGGAAAGGCACUCCUAGGGGACAUAAAAUUAGUGAUUACUUUGAGUUUGCUGGGGGAAGCGGGCCAGGAACCAGCCCUGGCAGAAGUGUUCCACCAGUUGCACGAUCCUCACCGCAACAUUCCUUAUCCAAUCCCUUGCCGCGGCGAGUAGAGCAGCCCCUGUAUGGUUUAGAUGGCAAUGCGGCGAAGGAGGUGGCUGAGGAGCAGUCGGCCCG